Molecule: unclassified non-coding RNA, 209 nt
Filed under: Hevea brasiliensis (rubber tree)
Lineage: Eukaryota; Viridiplantae; Streptophyta; Magnoliopsida; Malpighiales; Euphorbiaceae
Source: RNAcentral
GGAAGAUUUGGAACUGAGAUGACAUGUGCCGAAGAAGACUAUUUACUGAGGUGCAUAUACGGCGUUGUCGGAGGCUGGUCACCACCCCGAUCUCACUUAGUUUAAACUAGUUUUCGGGAUUCAAAAGGUCAUUCGGUUUGAAAUGUUAAAUCUAAGUUUGCAAUUUAUCAAGAUACUUGCCAGCAUAUUUGUUAUAGAAAAGGAAAAUA